GGGGCUAUAGCUCAGCUGGGAGAGCACUUGAUUUGCAUUCAAGAGGUCUGCGGUUCGAUCCCGCAUAGCUCCACCA
Molecule: transfer RNA, 76 nt
Filed under: Marinicella pacifica
Lineage: Bacteria; Pseudomonadati; Pseudomonadota; Gammaproteobacteria; Lysobacterales; Marinicellaceae
Also listed under: 5 other names
Description: tRNA-Ala
Rfam family: tRNA
About the family: Transfer RNA (tRNA) molecules are approximately 80 nucleotides in length.
Source: RNAcentral